RNAcentral lists this ribosomal RNA (437 nucleotides) under uncultured bacterium. RNAcentral's name for it is "bacterial SSU rRNA". It matches the Rfam family "Bacterial small subunit ribosomal RNA", at positions 29 to 511 of the family's 1533-position model. The record is from RNAcentral.
AACGAACGCUGGCGGCAGGCUUAACACAUGCAAGUCGAACGCACUCUUCGGAGUGAGUGGCAGACGGGUGAGUAACGCGUGGGAACGUACCUUUCGGUUCGGAAUAACCCAGGGAAACUUGGGCUAAUACCGGAUGCGCCGGAAACGGGAAAGAUUUAUCGCCGAAAGAUCGGCCCGCGUCGGAUUAGCUAGUUGGUGGGGUAAAGGCCUACCAAGGCGACGAUCCGUAGCUGGUCUGAGAGGAUGAUCAGCCACACUGGGACUGAGACACGGCCCAGACUCCUACGGGAGGCAGCAGUGGGGAAUAUUGGACAAUGGGCGAAAGCCUGAUCCAGCCAUGCCGCGUGAGUGAAGAAGGCCUUAGGGUUGUAAAGCUCUUUCAGCGGGGACGAUAAUGACGGUACCCGCAGAAGAAGCCCCGGCUAACUUCGUGCCAG